GGCAGUAGCUCAGUUGGUAGAGCAUUGGCUUCCCAAGCCAAGGGUCGCGGGUUCGAGUCCCGUUUGCC
This 68-nucleotide transfer RNA is filed under the name human gut metagenome. It matches the Rfam family "tRNA". From Rfam's summary of the family: Transfer RNA (tRNA) molecules are approximately 80 nucleotides in length. Their secondary structure includes four short double-helical elements and three loops (D, anti-codon, and T loops). Further hydrogen bonds mediate the characteristic L-shaped molecular structure. tRNAs have two regions of fundamental functional importance: the anti-codon, which is responsible for specific mRNA codon recognition, and the 3' end, to which the tRNAs corresponding amino acid is attached (by aminoacyl-tRNA synthetases). tRNAs cope with the degeneracy of the genetic code in two manners: having more than one tRNA (with a specific anti-codon) for a particular amino acid; and 'wobble' base-pairing, i.e. permitting non-standard base-pairing at the 3rd anti-codon position. RNAcentral also lists the same sequence under 1 other name. The record is from RNAcentral.